This 63-nucleotide transfer RNA is filed under the name Mus musculus (house mouse). It matches the Rfam family "tRNA", at positions 6 to 65 of the family's 71-position model. From Rfam's summary of the family: Transfer RNA (tRNA) molecules are approximately 80 nucleotides in length. Their secondary structure includes four short double-helical elements and three loops (D, anti-codon, and T loops). The record is from Rfam by way of RNAcentral. Lineage: Eukaryota; Metazoa; Chordata; Mammalia; Rodentia; Muridae.
UGUAGCUCAGUUGGUAGAGUGCUUGCCUUAGCAUGCAUGAAGCCCUGGGUUCAAUCCCCAGCA